GGGCAGAUGGUGUAAUGGUCAACAUUACCACAUUCGACGCAUUGAGCUCUAAUUGUGGAGAUGAAGGUUCGAAUCCUUCUCUGCGCA
This 87-nucleotide transfer RNA is filed under the name Laccaria amethystina LaAM-08-1. It matches the Rfam family "tRNA". Rfam says of the family: Transfer RNA (tRNA) molecules are approximately 80 nucleotides in length. Their secondary structure includes four short double-helical elements and three loops (D, anti-codon, and T loops). Lineage: Eukaryota; Fungi; Basidiomycota; Agaricomycetes; Agaricales; Hydnangiaceae. The record is from Rfam by way of RNAcentral.